Molecule: transfer RNA, 81 nt
Filed under: Caudoviricetes sp.
Lineage: Duplodnaviria; Heunggongvirae; Uroviricota; Caudoviricetes
Description: tRNA-OTHER
Rfam family: tRNA
About the family: Transfer RNA (tRNA) molecules are approximately 80 nucleotides in length. Their secondary structure includes four short double-helical elements and three loops (D, anti-codon, and T loops). Further hydrogen bonds mediate the characteristic L-shaped molecular structure. tRNAs have two regions of fundamental functional importance: the anti-codon, which is responsible for specific mRNA codon recognition, and the 3' end, to which the tRNAs corresponding amino acid is attached (by aminoacyl-tRNA synthetases). tRNAs cope with the degeneracy of the genetic code in two manners: having more than one tRNA (with a specific anti-codon) for a particular amino acid; and 'wobble' base-pairing, i.e. permitting non-standard base-pairing at the 3rd anti-codon position.
Source: RNAcentral
GAGCCGGUGGCAGAAUGGGAUUGCGGCUGACUCUAAAUCAGCUGCCUGACGGCGGAGAAGGUUCGAUUCCUUCCCGGCUCA